GUUUCUGUUGAAUAAGACAAUUUCCUACUCACUUUUUACACCUAAACGUAAGGUUUACUCACUAAGACGUCAGACCAUUGACACUUCUCUCGAAGAAGGAGACCGCGUCCCCUGCGCUCUCAGAGCCGCAGCCUGGCCAACAAGGAAAGGACAAUGUCAUAUGGUUCAACCUAGCCCACGUAUAAGACUGAGAGACGCGAGGAAGACACCUAAGGCAAAGUAAAGGGAUGCCAGCUUUCUCCCUGAAAAAGUAUCCACUAUGCCGACAGUCCUUUCUUGGCUUUUUUGUGUGGUCUUACCACUUAAGCAUGAAUCCCUAAACGCUAUACUUACUUUUGUCUGUGUUUGAACUUCAUAUUGUGAAAAAAUAGAGUGGCUAUUCUUUGAUGUCUGACUUCUUUUGCCUUACAUUAUGUUUUCUUUGUUGUUGUUUCAUCUAAGUUGAUAUUGCAGCUAUAGUUUUUAC
This is a long non-coding RNA of Homo sapiens (human), 466 nucleotides long. RefSeq lists it as uncharacterized. The record is from RefSeq and is a predicted model, not a curated record. Lineage: Eukaryota; Metazoa; Chordata; Mammalia; Primates; Hominidae. The transcript has 3 exons.